AUACUGAAGGGUUGGUAGGGGACCAGAGAAUAGAGGAAGCAUUGUAGGUUCUAGAGUGGAGAAGGGACCAUCCAAAAUGGAGUUUGAAAGAGAAUUCUGGCCUUUGUGUUUAGAGUCUGGAAUUGUCAAGAGUCUGAAAGCACAGAAUAAGACUGCAGCUAGAGCAAUUUAGGCGCCAUAGUUUGUCAAAACAGAGUGGGAGGCAUAACUGCUUUGCCUCCAGUCAUCAUCUGGGGGCAUAUCUACUCUUCGAGGACCAGGGGUUCGGGACCCUGGAACAGGAUCUGAAUUCCAAGCUGACCUCAGGGGUACAUGAAGACUGCUAGAUGAGACGGGAUCUCACUGUGUUGCCCAGGCUGGUCUCGAACUGCUGGACUCAAGUCAUCCUCCCAUCUUGGCCUCCCAAAGUGCUGGAAUUACAGUGGACAACCUUCAAUGCACUGGUACUUUGUACCCUGACCUCUACUGUGAUGAACACUCAACUUGGGCAAGGAAGUGAAAUUCUCCAAAGUGCAGUGGGUUCUGACCCAAUCAGCAGCCUUUGCUUCUCAGAUUCCUCUCAAGGCUUUAUGACUCUUCUCACCCCAGGAAACCCUACAACACGCACGGCCUUUCAGAACUGCUACAUGGAAUGGACAUUCCUCUGGGCUCCAGCUGAAUGUUUGUAAAUAAAAUAAUGACUGCGUGUCCU
This 691-nucleotide long non-coding RNA is filed under the name Homo sapiens (human). Its description in RNAcentral is "HSALNT0164369". Lineage: Eukaryota; Metazoa; Chordata; Mammalia; Primates; Hominidae. The record is from RNAcentral.